GAUGAAGAACGUAUCGAAAUGCGAUAAGUAAUGUGAAUUGCAGAAUUCAGUGAAUCAUCGAAUCUUUGAACGCACAUUGCGCCCGCCAGUAUUCUGGCGGGCAUGCCUGUUCGAGCGUCAUUACAACCCUCAGGCCCCCGGGCCUGGCGUUGGGGAUCGGCGGAAGCCCCCUGCGGGCACAACGCCGUCCCCCAAAUACAGUGGCGGUCCCGCCGCAGCUUCCAUUGCGUAGUAGCUAACACCUCGCAACUGGAGAGCGGCGCGGCCACGCCGUAAAACACCCAACUUCUGAAUGUUGACCUCGAAUCAGGUAGGAAUACCCGCUGAACUUAAGCAUAUCAAUAAGCGGAAGA
Molecule: unclassified non-coding RNA, 353 nt
Filed under: soil metagenome
Description: partial contains 5.8S ribosomal RNA, internal transcribed spacer 2, and large subunit ribosomal RNA
Rfam family: 5.8S ribosomal RNA (bases 1-120)
Source: RNAcentral